RNAcentral lists this ribosomal RNA (406 nucleotides) under Lactococcus garvieae. RNAcentral's name for it is "bacterial SSU rRNA". It matches the Rfam family "Bacterial small subunit ribosomal RNA", at positions 66 to 463 of the family's 1533-position model. The record is from RNAcentral. Lineage: Bacteria; Bacillati; Bacillota; Bacilli; Lactobacillales; Streptococcaceae.
AUGAUUAAAGAUAGCUUGCUAUUUUUAUGAAGAGCGGCGAACGGGUGAGUAACGCGUGGGAAAUCUGCCGAGUAGCGGGGGACAACGUUUGGAAACGAACGCUAAUACCGCAUAACAAUGAGAAUCGCAUGAUUCUUAUUUAAAAGAAGCAAUUGCUUCACUACUUGAUGAUCCCGCGUUGUAUUAGCUAGUUGGUAGUGUAAAGGACUACCAAGGCGAUGAUACAUAGCCGACCUGAGAGGGUGAUCGGCCACACUGGGACUGAGACACGGCCCAGACUCCUACGGGAGGCAGCAGUAGGGAAUCUUCGGCAAUGGGGGCAACCCUGACCGAGCAACGCCGCGUGAGUGAAGAAGGUUUUCGGAUCGUAAAACUCUGUUGUUAGAGAAGAACGUUAAGUAGAGUG